RNAcentral lists this ribosomal RNA (367 nucleotides) under uncultured nitrite-oxidizing bacterium. RNAcentral describes it as "bacterial SSU rRNA". It matches the Rfam family "Bacterial small subunit ribosomal RNA", at positions 521 to 890 of the family's 1533-position model. The record is from RNAcentral.
UAAUACGAAGGUGGCAAGCGUUAUUCGGAUUUACUGGGCGUACAGGGAGCGUAGGCGGUUCGGUAAGCCCUUUGUGAAAUCUUCAGGCUUAACCUGGAAAAGUCGGAGGGGACUGCCGGGCUAGAGGACGGGAGAGGAGCGCGGAAUUCCCGGUGUAGCGGUGAAAUGCGUAGAGAUCGGGAGGAAGGCCGGUGGCGAAGGCGGCGCUCUGGAACGUUUCUGACGCUGAGGCUCGAAAGCGUGGGGAGCAAACAGGAUUAGAUACCCUGGUAGUCCACGCCUUAAACUAUGAAUACUAAGUGUCGGCGGGUUACCGCCGGUGCCGCAGCUAACGCAUUAAGUAUUCCGCCUGGGAAGUACGGCCGCA